Molecule: ribosomal RNA, 253 nt
Filed under: uncultured bacterium
Lineage: Bacteria
Description: partial 16S ribosomal RNA
Rfam family: Bacterial small subunit ribosomal RNA
Source: RNAcentral
UACGGAGGGUGCAAGCGUUACUCGGAAUCACUGGGCGUAAAGAGCGCGUAGGCGGGAUAGCAAGUCAGAUGUGAAAUCCUAUGGCUUAACCAUAGAACUGCAUUUGAAACUGUUAUUCUAGAGUAUGGGAGAGGUAGGUGGAAUUCAUGGUGUAGCGGUGAAAUGCUUAGAUAUCAUGAAGAACUCCGAUCGCGAAGGCAAGUGUCCGGGGUGCAACUGACGCUGAGGCUCGAAAGUGCGGGUAUCAAACAGG